Molecule: ribosomal RNA, 229 nt
Filed under: uncultured bacterium
Lineage: Bacteria
Description: partial 16S ribosomal RNA
Rfam family: Bacterial small subunit ribosomal RNA
Source: RNAcentral
GAUCAUGGCUCAGGAUAAACGCUGGCGGCGCACAUAAGACAUGCAAGUCGAACGAACUUAACCAUUAGUUUACUAUUGGAGCGGUUAGUGGCGGACUGGUGAGUAACACGUAAGCAACCUGCCUAUCAGAGGGGAACAANAGUUAGAAAUGACUGCUAAUACCGCAUAUGCCUUAGAAUCACAUGGUUCGAAAGGGAAAGGAGCAAUCCGCUGAUAGAUGGGCUUGCGU